RNAcentral lists this ribosomal RNA (1535 nucleotides) under metagenome. RNAcentral describes it as "bacterial LSU rRNA". It matches the Rfam family "Bacterial large subunit ribosomal RNA", at positions 1381 to 2925 of the family's 2925-position model. The record is from RNAcentral.
UAGCCGGUGCCUUAGUCGAGGCCGAAAGGCGUAGACGAUGGACAGCAGGUCAACAUUCCUGCGCUGCCAGCGGACCGAUGGAGGGACGGCAUCCGAAAAGGGAUCGGACGACUAGAAAUGUCCGUAGGGUGAUCCAAGCCGGGGGAAAGGUAAAUCCGCCCCAUAACGCAAGGGUCAAACUCGAGAGCAUCCAAGUUCUCGAAGUCUCUGGAAGGAUGUCCAAGAAAAGCUCCUAGGGUUGAAAACUGGUAACCGUACUAAAACUGACGCAGGUAGGCGAGACGAGUAGUCUAAGGCGCUCGGGAAAAUGGUGGUUAAGGAACUCUGCAAAUUCACCCCGUAAGUUCGCGAUAAGGGGUACCCUUGAGGGUGCAAGCCUUCGAGGGUCACAGAAAAUCGGCUCUAGCAACUGUUUAUCAAAAACACAGGACUCUGCUAACUCGCAAGAGGAUGUAUAGAGUCUGACGCCUGCCCGGUGUUGGUAGGUUAAGGAAGAAGGUUAGCCUCACGGCGAAGCUUGCGACCGAAGCCCCAAUAAACGGCGGCCGUAACUAUGACGGUCCUAAGGUAGCGAAGUUCCUUGUCGGGUAAGUUCCGACCUGCAUGAAUGGCGUAAUGACUGGAGCACUGUCUCAACCACCAACCCGGUGAAAUUGUAGUCGUGGUGAAGAUGCCACGUUCCCGCGGUUAGAAAAGACCCCAUGAACCUUGACUGUAGGCUGAUAUUGGGCUGAGAUUUGUUUUGUGUAGGAUAGGUGGGAGGCUUUGAACCGGUGGCGCCAGCCAUUGGGGAGCCGACGUUGAAAUACCACCCUGAACAUGUUUUAGUUCUAACCUCGAUCCAGUGAAACCUGGCGAGGGACAGUGUCAGUUGGGCAGUUUGACUGGGGCGGUCUCCUCCAAAAAGGUAACGGAGGAGUACAAAGGCACCCUCAGCCUGGUCGGCAAUCAGGCACUGAGCGCAAUGGUAGAAGGGUGCUCAACUGCGAGACCUAUAAGUCGAGCAGAUGUGAAAGCAGGUCAUAGUGAUCCGGUGAUUCCGUAUGGAAGGGUCAUCGCUCAUCAGAUAAAAGGUACUCUGGGGAUAACAGGCUGAUCGCUACCGAGCGUCCACAGCGGCGUAGCGGUUUGGCACCUCGAUGACGGCUCAUCACAUCCUGGGGGUGAAGAAGCUCCCAAGGGUUUGGCUGUUCGCCAAUGAAAGUGGUACGUGAGCUGGGUUCAGACCGUCGUGAGACAGGUCGGUCCCUAUCUGCCGUGGGCGUACGAAACUUGAGGAGCCUCUUCUUUAGUACGAGAGGAUUUAGAAGGACUCAGCUCUGGUGUACCAGUUGUCACGCUAGUGGCACGGCUGGAUAGCUAUCUGGGGAAAGGAUAAACGCUGAAAGCAUCUAAGCGUGAAGCCCGCUCCAAGAAUAGGUUUCGUAUGGUUAAUAACCGAAAGUCCCCUCGAAGACGACGAGGUUGAUAGGCCGGAUGCGUAAGUUCCGUAAGGGAUUGAGCUUACCGGUACUAACGGACGAACGCUUGGCCAC